AUUGAACGCUGGCGGCAUGCUUUACACAUGCAAGUCGAACGGGGUGAGGGGGCAACUCCUCAUUCAGUGGCGAACGGGUGAGUAAUGCAUCGGAACGUGUCCCGUAGUGGGGGAUAACUCGGCGAAAGCCGUGCUAAUACCGCAUAUGCUCUACGGAGGAAAGUGGGGGACCUGCAAGGGCCUCACGCUAUGGGAGCGGCCGAUGUCCGAUUAGCUUGUUGGCGGGGAAUGGCCCACCAAGGCGACGAUCGGUAGCUGGUCUGAGAGGAUGAUCAGCCACACUGGGACUGAGACACGGCCCAGACUCCUACGGGAGGCAGCAGUGGGGAAUUUUGGACAAUGGGGGCAACCCUGAUCCAGCCAUGCCGCGUGCGGGAAGAAGG
RNAcentral lists this ribosomal RNA (383 nucleotides) under uncultured bacterium. RNAcentral's name for it is "bacterial SSU rRNA". It matches the Rfam family "Bacterial small subunit ribosomal RNA", at positions 29 to 414 of the family's 1533-position model. The record is from RNAcentral.